This 1100-nucleotide long non-coding RNA is filed under the name Camelus dromedarius (Arabian camel). Its description in RNAcentral is "lncRNA (ENSCDRG00005017260.1)". The record is from RNAcentral. Lineage: Eukaryota; Metazoa; Chordata; Mammalia; Artiodactyla; Camelidae.
GUGCAGGCCCCCAAAGACCCCUCACCAGCCCGAACCCAGGCCCUGGAGGCUGAGCACCGCGAAGCCACUCAACACAGAGGAGGCCAAGAGGAACACGGCCAGAGCCCCACACCCGGUGGGGGGCUGCCUUUCCCAGGUCUCCUCGCAGUCCAUCUCCAGAGGGAUGCCACAGUCCUCAUGGACCCAGCUCCCCUCGACAUGGCCACGAGAGCUCAGGAUCUGACCCAGACAUGUCUCCUCUCUAGGGGACGGGCCCUAGCUGCGAGGAUCAGGACCUCUAAAAGGGAAUGACACAGGGACCUUACAGACAGUCAUAAGGUUUCUCUGGGGCAUGGAGUCACCAUACACCUGGGAGCGGCCUGGCCCGGGGCCGUGACCGUGACCGUGACCACCACAUCCUGGAAACCUUCCAUGUGAGCUUGGCACGUGGACAUCCUGGCCACACUGCUGUCUGAAGGCCCGGAAAUGCGCUGGACACUGACCCCACCCUGAGGAAUCUCCCAGUCUGGCCGGAUUAAGAGGAGGCAACGGAUCCUGAUAACAUCAGUGAGGGUGGGCGACUCCAUCAAGCCCCAGCCUGGCUCCUGCCUGAUCCGGAAGCACAUGACUGGAGCAAUCUGACCUGUUGUUGGCCCGACCCCAUCCCUUCUCCAAGAAGUCACCUGCCACCGCCCGGCGGCCCAAGGCAACAGACAAGCUUCUGCCCCCCUCACUCGCUUCUCGAGCAUCCAAAGAAUCACGUGGAGAUAAAACACCGGCCGACGAUGUCCAACAACCAGGUCGUCGGUUGCCUCUAUACAGGGCGGGGAGAGGGUGGGGUCUAGUCUCUUGGCUAGUUUCCCGCGUAACGCCCCCUAUCCUGCCCUCCACGCACAAAAAUCAGGUGUGAGCUGGAGCCGUGGGAGACGCGGCUGAAAUGGGCGUGAGAGUGAGGGGCCAGGAACGGUGUGCAGGUUAAGCGCGGGCGCUUGGCCGAGGGGACCGAGGCUGCGGGAGCGGACGCGCGGGGCGCGCUGCCAGGGUGCGGGAAGGCAGGGCUGGAGCGGAGCAGAGGGAAGAUGGGAGGGAUGCCGAUUUCGGCUGGGGGGGGGAAAGCCCUG